This 422-nucleotide ribosomal RNA is filed under the name Staphylococcus aureus. Its description in RNAcentral is "partial 23S ribosomal RNA". It matches the Rfam family "Bacterial large subunit ribosomal RNA", at positions 596 to 1017 of the family's 2925-position model. The record is from RNAcentral. Lineage: Bacteria; Bacillati; Bacillota; Bacilli; Caryophanales; Staphylococcaceae.
AUGGCGUGCCUUUUGUAGAAUGAACCGGCGAGUUACGAUUUGAUGCAAGGUUAAGCAGUAAAUGUGGAGCCGUAGCGAAAGCGAGUCUGAAUAGGGCGUUUAGUAUUUGGUCGUAGACCCGAAACCAGGUGAUCUACCCUUGGUCAGGUUGAAGUUCAGGUAACACUGAAUGGAGGACCGAACCGACUUACGUUGAAAAGUGAGCGGAUGAACUGAGGGUAGCGGAGAAAUUCCAAUCGAACCUGGAGAUAGCUGGUUCUCUCCGAAAUAGCUUUAGGGCUAGCCUCAAGUGAUGAUUAUUGGAGGUAGAGCACUGUUUGGACGAGGGGCCCCUCUCGGGUUACCGAAUUCAGACAAACUCCGAAUGCCAAUUAAUUUAACUUGGGAGUCAGAACAUGGGUGAUAAGGUCCGUGUUCGAAAG